UGGGGGAUAUUGCACAAUGGGCGCAAGCCUGAUGCAGCGACGCCGCGUGAGCGAAGAAGUAUUUCGGUAUGUAAAGCUCUAUCAGCAGGGAAGAAAAUGACGGUACCUGACUAAGAAGCUCCGGCUAAAUACGUGCCAGCAGCCGCGGUAAUACGUAUGGAGCAAGCGUUAUCCGGAUUUACUGGGUGUAAAGGGAGCGUAGGCGGCUCUGUAAGUCUGAUGUGAAAAUUUGGGGCUCAACCCCAAACGUGCAUUGGAAACUGCAGGGCUUGAGUGCCGGAGAGGCAGGCGGAAUUCCUAGUGUAGCGGUGAAAUGCGUAGAUAUUAGGAGGAACACCAGUGGCGAAGGCGGCCUGCUGGACGGUAACUGACGCUGAGGCUCGAAAGCGUGGGGAGCAAACAGG
This 404-nucleotide ribosomal RNA is filed under the name uncultured bacterium. RNAcentral describes it as "bacterial SSU rRNA". It matches the Rfam family "Bacterial small subunit ribosomal RNA", at positions 355 to 776 of the family's 1533-position model. The record is from RNAcentral.